GAUGAACGCUGGCGGCGUGCCUAAUACAUGCAAGUCGAGCGAACAGACGAGGAGCUUGCUCCUCUGACGUUAGCGGCGGACGGGUGAGUAACACGUGGAUAACCUACCUAUAAGACUGGGAUAACUUCGGGAAACCGGAGCUAAUACCGGAUAAUAUAUUGAACCGCAUGGUUCAAUAGUGAAAGACGGUUUUGCUGUCACUUAUAGAUGGAUCCGCGCCGCAUUAGCUAGUUGGUAAGGUAACGGCUUACCAAGGCAACGAUGCGUAGCCGACCUGAGAGGGUGAUCGGCCACACUGGAAGUGAGACAGGGUCCAGACUCCUACGGGAGGCAGCAGUAGGGAAUCUUCCGCAAUGGGCGAAAGCCUGACGGAGCAACGCCGCGUGAGUGAUGAAGGUCUUCGGAUCGUAAAACUCUGUUAUUAGGGAAGAACAAAUGUGUAAGUAACUAUGCACGUCUUGACGGUACCUAAUCAGAAAGCCACGGCUAACUACGUG
This 497-nucleotide ribosomal RNA is filed under the name uncultured bacterium. Its description in RNAcentral is "partial 16S ribosomal RNA". It matches the Rfam family "Bacterial small subunit ribosomal RNA", at positions 28 to 507 of the family's 1533-position model. The record is from RNAcentral.